AAGGCAGGGAGCUCUGCGUCUGAGUUCAUCGAGCUCAUCUGCCACACAAAAAAGACAUACGGAAGAAAGGGAAUCUCCAGGGUUUAACCUUUACCGCUCGAAACACAAUCUCGCUGUCGAGAUCUCACGAUCGUCACAACCGACAAGCAACAAAACUCAACGGUCCUGGAGAAACGAACGGCUAAAUACGAGCAGUCGGAAUCGAUCACCUGAGGAGGAGUGUCUCAGUUCCAGACUUACAAAUCACACUUGAAUGCUCACUAAUCACUUGUGAGUUUAGAAUUAUUUUCAAAUAUUUCAUGUGGAUGCUCUGACAAAUGUGAGCUCUUGCAUGAAACAAGGGAAAAAGGCAAUCUGGAAGUGCUUUACAAACUAUGCCAAACCACAUGUCCACACACAGCUUCUCUUCCAAUAGAACUAAGACUGCCUGAUAAAACUAAACAGUGAAGUCUACUUUGAUAUAGUUAUGUAUGACACUCAGCAUCAUCCUGACAAGACAAACAACAUAAGUGACAAGAAGUAACAUUCCCA
This is a long non-coding RNA of Tachysurus vachellii, 531 nucleotides long. RefSeq lists it as uncharacterized. Lineage: Eukaryota; Metazoa; Chordata; Actinopteri; Siluriformes; Bagridae. The record is from RefSeq and is a predicted model, not a curated record. The transcript is spliced from 3 exons.